This 344-nucleotide unclassified non-coding RNA is filed under the name uncultured fungus. RNAcentral describes it as "partial contains small subunit ribosomal RNA, internal transcribed spacer 1, and 5.8S ribosomal RNA". The stretch from base 1 to 73 matches the Rfam family "Eukaryotic small subunit ribosomal RNA", at positions 1759 to 1831 of the family's 1831-position model. Lineage: Eukaryota; Fungi. The record is from RNAcentral.
UCAAACUUGGUCAUUUAGAGGAAGUAAAAGUCGUAACAAGGUUUCCGUAGGUGAACCUGCGGAAGGAUCAUUACUGAAGUUGCUGGGAGAUGUUGCUGGCUUUUUAAAAAGCAAGUGCACAUUUGAUUAUUUAUUCAUAACUUUCCUGUGCAUUUUGUGUAGAUUUUAAACUAUUUAUCGAUAUAAUUCGGUUAGAGAUCUGCUGUGUAAAGACCAGCUUUUCUUGUAUUUAAAAUCUGCAAGUUUUCUAUACACUCUUAUAUUAUAUAUGGCAUACUUUUUAAUAAUCAUAUACAACUUUCAACAACGGAUCUCUUGGCUCUCGCAUCGAUGAAGAACGCAGC